UCCAGACUCCUACGGGAGGCAGCAGUGAGGAAUAUUGGUCAAUGGGCGCGAGCCUGAACCAGCCAAGUCGCGUGAGGGAGGACGGCCCUACGGGUUGUAAACCUCUUUUGUCAGGGAGCAACGCCGGCUACGUGUAGCCGGACUGAGAGUACCUGAAGAAAAAGCAUCGGCUAACUCCGUGCCAGCAGCCGCGGUAAUACGGAGGAUGCGAGCGUUAUCCGGAUUUAUUGGGUUUAAAGGGUGCGUAGGCGGACGCUUAAGUCAGCGGUAAAAUUGCGGGGCUCAACCUCGUCGAGCCGUUGAAACUGGGUGCCUUGAGUGGGCGAGAAGUACGCGGAAUGCGUGGUGUAGCGGUGAAAUGCAUAGAUAUCACGCAGAACUCCGAUUGCGAAGGCAGCGUACCGGCGCCCAACUGACGCUGAAGCACGAAGGCGUGGGUAUCGAACAGGAUUAGAUACCCGAGUACA
Molecule: ribosomal RNA, 467 nt
Filed under: uncultured bacterium
Lineage: Bacteria
Description: bacterial SSU rRNA
Rfam family: Bacterial small subunit ribosomal RNA
Source: RNAcentral